UUGUAUGGUAUGUAAAUUAUAUCUCAAUGGGGCUGGGGGAGGGUUCCUUUUUUUUUUUUUUUUUUAAGAGCAAGCUUAAGAACCAUCGCACACAAAUAUUCUCUUGUUCUGUUAAGUUUCUGCUUCUUUGCUCACCAGUGCCGCAAGAGCCAGCCCCACCCUAAAAACUGGAAAAGGAAGGGGAGGUUAAAAAUAAUGGUGUCACCAGAAAGCAACUCUAUUAUAACAAUUAUUUUGAAAUCUAUAACCCCUUGAACCAUUAGUAGUUCAGGAAAGUUUGUUUUCUGAUGGGCUCCAUCAUUUCAAAAGCAUAUUGUUUAUUAACUAACCGUGUUUAAUGAAGAUACACUUAUGUAUACAACCCUGUAUACACCCUGAAAAAAUUCGACACGAAACCAUGCCCCCGCAUCUAUAAAUCAACAAGUUAGGCUAUAACCCGCUCUUUUACAAACAUGACUAGGGACAAGUCUUAUUCUCUAAUAACAGAAGAUGAAAAAAAGCACGCCAACUAACAAUCAGCUUCAGCUUUCUACGGUUUUUAAGAGUCGGAGUUUAAGUCAGUUGCUGUUCCUUCACCUUCCAUGGUUUAGGACUGGUGUCAGUAAAACAGGUAGUAAAUGAGGGAGAGGGAGGUUCCUGGCCAAGCAUCGCAGAGCUCUUAACUUCUUCCAAACCCCAAACCUUACUUACUUCCUGCAAUAUACGUAAAGAGGUCACAGGCCACCCUCUUCAAACCAAAUCAGAACCCAAGCAAACAGCACAGGAUUCUAUUUCUGGGUCUGUCAUCAACUCACUGGAUAAUUCUGAAACAUCAAUCUCUACUUUGCCCAAUAACCUAACCACGAUUUCCAGUCCAAAAAUCAAAUCAUGUGGUCUAAUAAAGAACGUUUUCCCGAUUUGCAGAUUUACUUUCAUGGAAAAUCUGACAAUGGUGUUUGAAGUUAAAUCACAGUAUAUGUUCAAAUCGUCUCUAAUGAAUAUACAUGAAAUAAGAAAAAUUCAAGACUGUUUACUCCAAAAAUGUUGAGUUCUUCCAUUUCAAAUUUUUAAAGGUGUUCACCAGAGAAAGAGUAAGCUACAGAGGGCUGAAGGGUUCUGAGGUUUUAAAUUUAAGCUGUUAUAUUUAGAAAACCACGAUGCCACCUCUCUGGAUCUCAUAUCUUUAUCUUGGGCAUUUGAUUCAUGUGCUUUGCCUGGUGUAAUUCAAAGCGAGAGAGCCUAUCAUAUCCCUGAAGUGUAAAUUGAACAUAUCAAAACAUUGAUUGUCAGAGGAAUGAGAUACCAAAGAGAUGGGCAGGUAUAGUCGCCACUGCUAGAGCUAUUUAACAAAAUAUGAACUACCUGUCUAGUCCCUAAAGCCGUCUACAAACCACUGCCAACUUUACAAGAAACAUUUCUAUCCCAUUCCUGGAAAUCCUGAUUCAAGAGUCUAGGGUGAAAUCUAGGGAAUCUACUAAUUACAAGUUAUCAGGUGAUUCUACAAACUCAUGGACUUGGAGAACAGAUUUGUGGUUGCCAAGGGGGAGGACGAGGGAGUGGGAUGGACUGGGAGUCUGGGGUUAGUAGAUGCAAACCAUUGCACCUGGAGUGGAUAAGCAAUGAGAUCCUGGCGUAUAGCACAGGGAACUAUAUCUAAUCACUUGUGAUAGAACAUGAUGGAGGAUAAUGUGAGAAAAAGAAUGUACGUGUGUGUACAUAUAUUAUAUACACAUAUAUGUAAGACUGGGUCACUUUGCUGUACAGCAGAAAUUGACAGAACAAUGUAAGUCAAUAAUAGAAAAAAUAAAAACCUUACAAAAAGUGUCAGGUGAUUCUGAUUUACAGCUUAAUUCAGGAACUACUGGUUUAGGACAAGGAUAGCAGAAAGGUUUUCUAUCACCUGCCAAUUAUCCUUGAUAGGUGGUAGCCGCCUGAAGUGCUACACUGAGAAGGUCAUGUCUAAAAACAAUGAGUAAAAAAAAUAAAAAAAAAUAAAAACAAUGAGUAGUUCGCCACUGACAUGGUAAUGGGGAAGUGGCAAUAUGCAAACCUUGUAUCUGUUGCCUGCGAUUUAGACCACUGAAUGGGACUGCUUUUUUUUAAAGGAGGCUUUGGGGAUAAAAGAAGAGACUCAGACCGGGACGAUGUGCUUCUAACUGGCAGAAGCUCUGAAUGUCUCUGGGAAGGUAGCAGGCAGCAGUAACAGGCCCACUGACAUAUGUACCAGGACGCUCGAAAAGCUUUCCAUUAUUAUACAGAAAAAGAAUUCUGCUCUCAAAACGUCUACAACCUUGUUUGAGAAAUGAAAAUUCUACAGGAUAAUAUAAAUUUGGUCUAAAAAAAAAUGGAAUGCUUGUGCUUCAGGGAGUUCCACUUCAGGCACAAGCAGGAGCUAAUGGAGCGUACCCCCCAGAACAGCGUCGUCUGAACUGAUUCAAGCAGGAGUCAACUGUGGGCUCCUGAUAAGGACACAACUAAAGAAGAUUCCACGAGCGGCGUAUUUUAGGAAAAUAAAUGGAAAGCUAUACAAUUAAGGCAGGGCCCCCUGGAAGGCAAAUAAAUCUGUUUUGGUUUGCUUCUGUAAACACCUGUCUCUGCCACAGAUAGACUUCAGAAAGCUUAAGAAUGACGAGUACUUCUGAGAAAACAGCCUAGACUCAAUCAGAAAAAAACAGACAUUCAUUUGUUAGCUCUACUAAUAGGAAAUCUCUCUGAAUCUACUCAAAGAACUUCUUGUAAAUUAAUAUGAGAACUGAAUAUGAGCCAAGGCAGUGACUCAGCUGCUAAAAAGAAAAUACAAUCUUAGGCUUCAUUAGAAGAAGAGUAUCCAGAUCAAGGACGGGAGCAGUCCCAUUCCCCUUCCCUGAUGAGCUCACAACUGGAGGAUUGUGUUCUGUUUUGAGGACCACAUUUUAAGAACACAUACGAGCUCGAAUGCUUGCAGGGAGAGAGACCAGACGAGUGAGGAGUUUAGAAGCCGAAGGUCAAGGGGAGAACGACUGAAGAAAAUGGGUGUGUUUAGCUUGAAGAAAACACUUUCCGGCCUUGCGUCGCCUCUACCACAGAGACCCCAGCGUAACUUCUCAAGGAUUUCAAAGGAGCUCUUAAUAGGCAAGAUUCUAUAAUCAAAGAAGUCUGAGUCAGGAACUUUUUUUUUUCCUCCAAAGGGUUUAUCAAAGUGUUCAGUAUCCUACAGCACUUUAUGACUCUGCAAGAAAAAUUUCAGUAUUUCCCAAAUGUGACCAUUUACUCAUUCAUUCAACGUAUAUUUACUGAGCCCCUAUUAUUUGCCAACACUCCUCCAGGUGCUGAGAAUGCAGCAAUGAACAUUUUUAAAAUCCUUGAGAAGAAUCUGUGGAACAGUCAAGCUGGGCCUCUUGCUACCUCUCUAACCUGCACUGUACUUCCUCAUCCCUAGGUUUUGAUUAUGCGUUCCAUCCAGACUGCCCCAUCCCUAAUCUAAUUUAAAUGUUAUUGCUGCCAAGAAGCUUUCCUGAUCACAAGCAAAACCACUCUUUUCAAUAAACCCAUGGCUCUUUCUCUGUUCCAGUUCUUUGAAAACAGACUACGCCUCUUAAUUACCUCUGGAUCUCUCACAAUGCCUAGGACCACAUCUUGCAUGUGCAGGUGCUAAAGAAAUAUCUGCUGAAGGAGUAAUCACAUUCAAAUAUUUAAAGGGUUAUCCUGUGAAAGAAGACAAACUAGUUCUCUAAUGUUCCACAGAGAAGGACUAGGAAAAAGGGAUGAAGUUACAAGCACAUUUUUGCCUCAAUUAAAGCUAUCGGUGACUACAGGUACUCUAAGAGUAGCCCAAUAAUUCUGUAUCAAAUGUUUUAGUGGGACAGCUCACUGGCCUGAAUAAGAUCUUAAGAUUCUAAGAAAAACCGUAAGUCUAUAUAUAUUUAAUAUUUGUGUGUAUAUAUGUACUAGACAAGAGGUAACUUUUCAUACAAUAUAAUGCAUCGAUAUUAAAGUUCUUAAAAGUAAGCUUAAACAUGAAAUAGCCUUUCGUUUACUGGCACAGCUGAUCCUUAAAGAUGGGGGUGAACUCAAGCAUGACGUACAGGUGGCCCUCCCUAUCUGUCGUUUCCCCACAUCGGCUGGUUCAACCAACCAUGGACCAUGUAGGACUGCAGUAAUCACUACUGUACUGUAGUAGUCACUGUCGGAAAUAUCCAUGCAUAAGUGGACGCGUGCAGUCCAAACCCUUGUUGCUCAGAGGUCAACUGCACGGAGGAUACAAGGCAAAGCAAGACAGUAUCUCCAUCCUAAAAGUCAAUACAAGAGUUCUUAAUUAUGUCCCCAGAGCAAAUCUGAUAUAAAUCCGAAUGCCUACGUCAUCUACCUCAGUAAGCAAUACUCCUUAGAGAAGCAAAUUCUUUAGGUUAAUGAUUUUCAAUACUUUUGCAGUCAGAAAAAUAAGUAUGAAGUCAUCAGCUCCUCUUAAAAUCAUCAAAAGCAUUAAGUUCUUCAUACAAACAAAUUAGUCAUGCUGCCUUUUUAGUUAAAAACUAGAAAACGGGGGGGGGAGGGAUACCUUCACAUACCUAGGCUAUCAUCUCUGUGACUGCUCUCCCAAACCAAAAGCUAUAGUCUUUACUGGCAGGGACACUAUCAGUUACUUGUGUCCCCAGCAUUUAGUAAAGUGCCCAGGACAAGACAGACAGUGAGUCAAUGAGCAAACAAAUGAGAGAAACUAAUGAGCCCAAUGUCCCUGGAUUAAAACAACUACCUUAAAGAAUCACUAACGAUUUGAUUUUUCUUAUUUUAUUUUUCUUAUCGGAUCCCUGCCAAGGAAACAGAAGCAGAUGAGGAGAUCCUUAAAUUUAGUUUUCACUAUAAGUCAGAAUGCUAUUUUUUGGUCAUUUAUUAAUAAGUAAUUACUAUAUGUAAACCUAGUUUUAACCAUAUGUAAAUCUAGUUUUCACUAUAAGUCAGAAUGCUAUUUUUCGGUCAUUUAUUAAUAAGUAAUUACUACAUGUAAACCAAGUUGCUUCUCAGGGGGACUAAAAUUAAUUUACUGAUCAGGAGAGCUAAAUGACCAACUUCUAAUGCAAAGAAAAACCCCAAACACUUAAUUCAGGAGUUCUCUUGUGGUGCAGUGGGUUAAGGAUCUUGCAUUUUGUCUGAAAUAAAACAAAAAACAAACCAUGAUACACCCACAACUUGACCCAUAAGAUUAUAAAAAAUAGUUUAUCAAACUGAUUAAUGUAACUGCCUAAAAAGCAAAAUACUUUGAUAUCACCUAGUGUUUAAACUACUCUUUAAAAGUGCUAUGGUUCACAUUUUUCCAAACUCUCAUUUGAGCAAAAAAAAAAAAAAGCAUAUAAACAUUUACUGUUUAAAAACUAGAAAACAGAAGACUAUAAAAAUGAUA
Non-coding RNA from Sus scrofa (pig), 5356 nucleotides. NCBI's taxonomy places the organism in Eukaryota, Metazoa, Chordata, Mammalia, Artiodactyla, Suidae. The record is from RefSeq and is a predicted model, not a curated record.